GUUUGCUCACAACAACCUUGUUUGUGGUUCCACUCGUAAUAGCCCCUUUUUCUUGAACUAUGGCUUUAACCCUACUGUUCUUCCGUCGGUGUCUCCUUCCCAGGGUAUACCGUCGGUUGAUAUUCAUGUAGCCAACCUGAGAAAGUUGUGGGAUCAGACUCGACAAAUUCUUGAACAUAGUUCCGCGGUGUUUAAGUCACAUGCUGAUAGGCGUAGACGUCCUGCUCCUAUUUUUUCUCCGGGGGAUAGGGUCUGGUUGUGUACCAGACACAUUCGCCUGAAAGUUCCUUCCUUGAAGUUUGCUCCUCGUUACAUUGGUCCUUACAGGGUACUGAGGAGGAUCAACCCGGUUUCUUAUUUGCUGGAUCUACCUCCUACUCUACGCAUCCCUAACUCUUUUCAUGUGUCGUUAUUGAAACCUCUUGUUUGUAACAGAUUUUCCUCCCGCUCUGCUCCUCCAUCCUCGGUCCGUGUGGAUGGUCAGGAAGAAUAUAUCAAGUCCAUCCUUGAUUCUCGUAUUUCUAGGGGGAAGCUGCAAUACCUCAUAGACUGGAAAGGUUAUGGUCCGGAAGAGAGGUCUUGGGUUCCUGGUAUAGACGUGCAUGCUCCUCGUCUUCUUCGGGCCUUCCACGUUCGUUUUCCCUCUAAGCCCGGUCCCAUCCGCCCGGUGGGCGUUUCUAGAAGGGGGGGUACUGUCAGGGUACCUGUUGGUGAUGUAUCCAGG
Pelobates cultripes (western spadefoot toad) is the source of this 724-nucleotide non-coding RNA. Lineage: Eukaryota; Metazoa; Chordata; Amphibia; Anura; Pelobatidae. The record is from the annotation of a GenBank genome assembly.